AGUUCGUUAUUGUUGUUGUGUCGUGACCAUGUGUUUUCGCUUACCAUUUCGUGGGUUAUUCUUAGUGCUGUCGACUGUUGGUCUCCGGCGCGUAAGUAUUAUUUUCCUGUUGUACAUCCAACACGGCUAUCUUCGUGGCCGGCCGUUCGUAGAUUCCGGUGCUUGUAGCUACGGUUGCGCGCCGGACUUGCCCGUCCCUCGACUGGAUGACCGCCACUACCCGUCCCUUGGGCCAAGUGUUUCGGGGAAGGUUUGGAUCCACGAUCACUACAAUGUCGCCCUCCUUAAUCGGACGAACCGGAUGAUGCCACUUAACUCUGCGCGUUAAGGUCGGGUAGCGAUGUCGUCACUGAAUACUGCUUUCGGUGCCUCUCCGUUAGCUGUCCCUAGCAGAAAGUGGUUCGGGGUUAAAGGAAGCUCGGAUUCGCUGUCAAGUGGUACCUGUGUAAGAGGGCGAGAAUUAAGCAUCGCUUCGAUCUCCGUUAAUGCAGUCGUUAACACUUCGUCGGUUGGUAGCCGAGACAUCCGUAUUUCGCUCAUCGCCUUCUUGACGGAUCGCACUAGUCGUUCCCAGCAGCCUCCAAAGUGUGGUCCACCAGGCCUCAGCAAGCUCUCGCGAUGCACCGACGAAGUUCGUACCGUUGUCGUUGAUGAAUUCCAAAGAUUGCCCACGCCUAGCGAUGAAACGACGUAUAGCUAAGAUGCAUGAUGAUGUGGUCAGGGAGUGCACAGCCUCUAGAUGGAUGCCCCUGGUGGUGAGACAGGUGAAGAGAACGCCCCAACGUUUUUCGACUCGUCGACCAACUGCUACGGGAACCGGGCCAAAAUAGUCGACGCCCGUGAAUGAGAACGGCUUCUGAUAAGCAGAAAGACGCUCGGAGGGAAGGUUCCCCAUCUCUGGAGGCUCUGGCUUGGCAUCACGGUUUUUGCAGUGCUGACAUGUCCUACGGAUACGAUUGAAUUCGGCUUGCAGUCUCGGCAUUUGUAUCUUCUCAUAGCCAUGUCACGAGAGCAUGGCAACUUAACAUCGUCAAAACGCCACAGCACUCUGGAUUCAUAAUGCUUUCCGUUGAAUUUCGAUUCUGCGUUGAGAAUCCCCAACGCUCGCUUAUCAUCCUUUGAACGAAGUGUUUCCAACGGUUUGACGAUACCGAGCGAUUCGAGCGUAAAAAAGUUUUUUACCGCUGCGUCCAGAUUGGCUUCUGCAUCUGCGCCGCAGUUGCAUAUGUGGAUGGUAUGUAUUGCUUGUAUGUUAACACUGUUGGAGUUCUUAUUACGUGGGCCAUAUACGAUCCAUCCCAAUGACGUCUUUGCCGCAACGGGCUCAUAUUUCCCACCUUCCGCGUAACGAGUCGGUCGAACCAAAUGAUGGUUGUCGAUACCAAUGAGCAAUCGAGGCCUAGCGUUUUCGUACGCAUGAAUUGGCAAACCCUGUAGAUGCGCGUACUGUUUAGUCAGUUGUGUCACUGCCAGAGUCUGGGCUGGUAGAGAAAGGCUUUGCACCGUGUGCACCUUUGGGAUAAUAUGUACACUGCUGUUUUGCCCGACUCCUGAAAUCUCCAAAAGUGACACGCGAAUUGAACCCGUUUCGUCACUUCAGGCACAGAGGAUGGGGCUGUCCUUCCAGACCGAGCUCCUCAAUUAGGCUAUGCUCGAUGAAGGUACCGGUAGAUCCACUGUCAAAAAAGGCAAAGGUCGUGAUGGCCUUGUCUCGCCCGUAAACUAUUACAGGAAUGUAUUUUAAAAAUACAUCACCGGUAACCUCAGAAUGCGCGUUCAGUGAUGCUGUGGCAACCGCGUACUCGUUUGGUUAUGAAUGGCGCUCGGGAUUGUGUAAUAGUUCGUGGUGCAGAUACUCG
This is a long non-coding RNA of Anopheles gambiae (African malaria mosquito), 1859 nucleotides long. RefSeq lists it as uncharacterized. The record is from RefSeq and is a predicted model, not a curated record. The transcript has 4 exons. Lineage: Eukaryota; Metazoa; Arthropoda; Insecta; Diptera; Culicidae.